RNAcentral lists this ribosomal RNA (274 nucleotides) under uncultured bacterium. Its description in RNAcentral is "partial 16S ribosomal RNA". It matches the Rfam family "Bacterial small subunit ribosomal RNA", at positions 523 to 796 of the family's 1533-position model. The record is from RNAcentral.
AUACAGAGGGUGCGAGCGUUAAUCGGAAUUACUGGGCGUAAAGCGCGCGUAGGCGGCUUAUUAAGUCAGAUGUGAAAUCCCCGGGCUCAACCUUGGAACUGCAUCUGAUACUGGUAAGCUAGAGUUUGGGAGAGGGAAGUAGAAUUUCAGGUGUAGCGGUGAAAUGCAUAGAGAUCUGAAGGAAUACCAGUGGCGAAGGCGACUUCCUGGCCUAAAACUGACGCUGAGGUGCGAAAGCGUGGGUAGCAAACGGGAUUAGAAACCCCAGUAGUCC